RNAcentral lists this ribosomal RNA (318 nucleotides) under Triticum aestivum (bread wheat). Its description in RNAcentral is "partial small subunit ribosomal RNA". Lineage: Eukaryota; Viridiplantae; Streptophyta; Magnoliopsida; Poales; Poaceae. The record is from RNAcentral.
AUGGCCGGUGCCUGUCUGAAUGCAACCAGAGGAGUCAGGAAUCAGGCAAUGUUACUCAUUGGAAACCAGCACUGUUCAGCAACCGGCCAAAGGUGUGGGGAAGAUGACGCCUCUCUGUCCACAGACUUCGGAGGCCUUCUCUGUCUGCAACAUCCAAAAUCAGAUGAAAAGUGUGACGGCAUACAACUUCGGUGGGCUCGAAAAGAGCUAGCCAUGGACAAGAAGCUAUCUUGCUAUGUUGGUGUUAAUGACAAAACAAAGAUUGUUGUGAGGCUAAACCUUCACAUGAGCCUUUACUGUGGUCCUGUCCAUUGUUGA